GCGAACCUAACUUAAUUUUUCUUUUUCUUUUUUUCAACCUUUUCUCUUUCAUUUCACCGAACAACACGUUGAAUCCAAUUUUAAUAAGCUCCUUGCCGUUUGGCACACCCUGUGUGUACAAAUCGGAAUGGGUUUGACAUAUUGCGAACUGGGUGGCUAUAAGAAGUGCAAAAAUUAGAUCUUUUUGGAGUUAGAUUUCGUGGGUGGGUUUUCGCAAUUCAAAGGGAAAACAGUGUUCACCGUCUAGUUUGUGGGCGUGGUGUUGGUGGGAGUUGCGGCUGGGUUGAGGGGGUAGAGGAGGGCACAA
Molecule: long non-coding RNA, 307 nt
Filed under: Glycine max (soybean)
Lineage: Eukaryota; Viridiplantae; Streptophyta; Magnoliopsida; Fabales; Fabaceae
Description: long non-coding RNA (GMAX_LNC001090)
Source: RNAcentral